This 460-nucleotide ribosomal RNA is filed under the name uncultured bacterium. RNAcentral describes it as "partial 16S ribosomal RNA". It matches the Rfam family "Bacterial small subunit ribosomal RNA", at positions 338 to 795 of the family's 1533-position model. The record is from RNAcentral.
CCUACGGGUGGCUGCAGUGAGGAAUAUUGGUCAAUGGGCGCGAGCCUGAACCAGCCAAGUAGCGUGAAGGAUGACUGCCCUACGGGUUGUAAACUUCUGUUAUAAAGGAAUAAAGUGAGGCACGUGUGCCUUUUUGUAUGUACUUUAUGAAUAAGGAUCGGCUAACUCCGUGCCAGCAGCCGCGGUAAUACGGAGGAUCCGAGCGUUAUCCGGAUUUAUUGGGGUUCAAGGGAGCGUAGAUGGGUUGUUAAGUCAGUUGUGAAAGUUUGCGGCUCAACCGUAAAAUUGCAAUUGAUACUGGCAGUCUUGAGUACAGUUGAGGUCGGCGGAAUUCGUGGUGUAGCGGUGAAAUGCUUAGAUCUCACGAAGAACCCCGAUUGCGACGGCAGCUUACUAAACUGUGCCUGACAUUGAUGCUCGACAGUGUGGGUAUCAAACAGGAUUAGCUACCCGUGUAGUC